UCUGGCUCACGCCGACUUGAACUCAGUUCAUGUGCUUUUUUAAAAGUCGAACAGACUUCCUAAUUUACAUUCUACCUCAAAAAGGAAAAGCAAACCAACAUCGAGGUCGCAAAAAAAAUUAUUAAUAAGAACUAACCAAAAUGAUCACGCUGUUAUCCCUUAAGUAUUUAAACAAAAAGCAAAACAAAGAUCUAAAAACAAAGAAAAAUACAUUAAUAUACAAAAUUGCCCCAAUCAAAAAAACUUAAAAAAACAUUCUAAUUAAAAAAUUUAGCAAAAAUUUUAAAUAAAUAAAAAUUUAAGGGUCUUUUAGUCUUUUAAAAACCAAUCAAAACUUUUUAUAAAUAAAACAAAUUCAAAAUAAAUAUAAAUCAAAAAGAAGAUUUAAAAUCCCAUUCAUACAAGUUUUCAAUAAAAAAACAAAUGAUUACGCUACCUU
RNAcentral lists this ribosomal RNA (439 nucleotides) under Sperchon violaceus. RNAcentral describes it as "partial large subunit ribosomal RNA". Lineage: Eukaryota; Metazoa; Arthropoda; Arachnida; Trombidiformes; Sperchontidae. The record is from RNAcentral.